UCUCCGUAGGUGAACCUGCGGAGGGAUCAUUACAGAGCUCAUGCCCUACCGGGCACCCUGUACACCCUAUGUUAUUAUUACUUUGGUGCCUUUGCGGGCCGCCAGGCCCCGGCCCGACUAUCGCCCCCGGCGGGCAAGCGGCCGCCAGAGGAGCCAAAACCCCGAAUAGUUGUGUCGUCGGAGUACCAUAUAAUAGUUAAAACUUCCAACAACGGUUCUCUUGGUUCUGGCUUCGAUGUAGAACGCACUAUAUCGGACGAGCACACGGCUGAACUCCAG
RNAcentral lists this unclassified non-coding RNA (279 nucleotides) under plant metagenome. RNAcentral describes it as "partial contains small subunit ribosomal RNA, internal transcribed spacer 1, and 5.8S ribosomal RNA". The record is from RNAcentral.